UGCAGUCGAGCGGAUGAGAAGAGCUUGCUCUUCGAUUCAGCGGCGGACGGGUGAGUAAUACCUAGGAAUCUGCCUGGUAGUGGGGGACAACGUUUCGAAAGGAACGCUAAUACCGCAUACGCCCUACGGGGGAAAGCAGGGGACCUUCGGGCCUUGCGCUAUCAGAUGAGCCUAGGUCGGAUUAGCUAGUUGGUGAGGUAAUGGCUCACCAAGGCGACGAUCCGUAACUGGUCUGAGAGGAUGAUCAGUCACACUGGAACUGAGACACGGUCCAGACUCCUACGGGAGGCAGCAGUGGGGAAUAUUGGACAAUGGGCGAAAGCCUGAUCCAGCCAUGCCGCGUGUGUGAAGAAGGUCUUCGGAUUGUAAAGCACUUUAAGUUGGGAGGAAGGGUACUUACCUAAUACGUGAGUAUUUUGACGUUACCGACAGAAUAAGCACCGGCUAACUCUGUGCCAGCAGCCGCGGUAAUACAGAGGGUGCAAGCGUUAAUCGGAAUUACUGGGCGUAAAGCGCGCGUAGGUGGUUCGUUAAGUUGGAUGUGAAAUCCCCGGGCUCAACCUGGGAACUGCAUCCAAAACUGGCGAGCUAGAGUAGGGCAGAGGGUGGUGGAAUUUCCUGUGUAGCGGUGAAAUGCGUAGAUAUAGGAAGGAACACCAGUGGCGAAGCGACCACCUGGGCUCAUACUGACACUGAGGUGCGAAAGCGUGGGGAGCAAACAGGAUUAGAUACCCUGGUAGUCCACGCCGUAGAUGUCAACUAGCCUUGGAAUCCUUGAAUUUUAGUGGCGCAGCUAAGCAUUAAGUUGACCGCCUGGGGAGUACGGCCGCAGUUAAAACUCAAAUGAAUUGAGGGGCCCGCACAAGCGGUGGAGCAGUGGUUUAAUUCGAAGCACGCAAACCUUACCGCUGACUGCAACUUUCCAGAUUGGUGCCUUCGGAACUCUGAACGCUGCAUGGUGUCGCAGCUCUGUCGAGUGGACCAGCACUCUCUGCAGCUCACGUAAUCGGGCUCGGACAAGUGA
This 1024-nucleotide ribosomal RNA is filed under the name Pseudomonas sp. YSA8_1A2. RNAcentral describes it as "bacterial SSU rRNA". It matches the Rfam family "Bacterial small subunit ribosomal RNA", at positions 56 to 1192 of the family's 1533-position model. The record is from RNAcentral. Lineage: Bacteria; Pseudomonadati; Pseudomonadota; Gammaproteobacteria; Pseudomonadales; Pseudomonadaceae.